Molecule: long non-coding RNA, 376 nt
Organism: Episyrphus balteatus (marmalade hoverfly)
Lineage: Eukaryota; Metazoa; Arthropoda; Insecta; Diptera; Syrphidae
Exons: 2
Source: RefSeq, a predicted model, not a curated record
CAGGAAGAAAUUUAAAUUCCUCAAAUAACAUGAAGCUGUUUAAUAAUAAUAAGAAUAGGAUUAAAUCAUAACUAGUAUUUCUUGUGAGCAAUACAAACCAAGAGUAUAAAAUUGUCUGGAACAGCACAAUAAGUAAGACUCCAAGUGUGAACGAUGAUAAAAAAAAUAACAAGAAUCUAAAAUCUGAGAGCUUGCUAGACUAAAGUACAUUACUUUUGUUUUAUUGCUCAAUACCAUUUUAUUAACUGCAAACCAGCGUCUUUUAAUGUCCAAAUCAAAUUUAAUAUCAGAAGUUAAGUCAAGCAGAGAUCUACAACCAUAUAUGCAAAAGCUUUAUCAUCAGCAAAUGCUGUAAUUUCUGAAGCCAAGAGUGCCG